UACAGAGGGUGCAAGCGUUAAUCGGAAUUACUGGGCGUAAAGUGUGCGCAGGUGGCUUCGCAAGUCGAGUGUGAAAUCCCCGGGCUUAACCUGGGAAUUGCGCUCGAAACUACGGAGCUGGAGUGUGGCAGAGGGAGGUGGAAUUCCACGUGUAGCGGUGAAAUGCGUAGAGAUGUGGAGGAACACCAAUGGCGAAGGCAGCCUCCUGGGCCAACACUGACACUCAUGCACGAAAGCGUGGGGAGCAAACAGG
RNAcentral lists this ribosomal RNA (253 nucleotides) under uncultured bacterium. RNAcentral's name for it is "partial 16S ribosomal RNA". It matches the Rfam family "Bacterial small subunit ribosomal RNA", at positions 524 to 776 of the family's 1533-position model. The record is from RNAcentral.